This 719-nucleotide ribosomal RNA is filed under the name uncultured bacterium. RNAcentral's name for it is "bacterial SSU rRNA". It matches the Rfam family "Bacterial small subunit ribosomal RNA", at positions 8 to 735 of the family's 1533-position model. The record is from RNAcentral.
AGAGUUUGAUCCUGGCUCAGGACGAACGCUGGCGGCGUGCUUAACACAUGCAAGUCGAACGGGGUCCAACCUCUCGCAAGAGAGGGGAAGACCUAGUGGCGAACGGGUGCGUAACACGUGAGGAACCUGCCCCGNAAGACCGGGACAACACCGGGAAACCGGUGCUAAUACCGGAUAUCCCCAUCGAAUCGCAUGGUUUGAUGAGGAAAUGGAUUCCGCUUUGGGAGGGCCUCGCGGCCUAUCAGCUUGUUGGUGGGGUAACGGCUCACCAAGGCUUCGACGGGUAGCUGGUCUGAGAGGACGACCAGCCACACUGGGACUGAGACACGGCCCAGACUCCUACGGGAGGCAGCAGUGGGGAAUCUUGCGCAAUGGGCGAAAGCCUGACGCAGCAACGCCGCGUGCGGGAUGACGGCCUUCGGGUUGUAAACCGCUUUCAGUAGGGACGAAAUUGACGGUACCUGCAGAAGAAGCCCCGGCCAACUACGUGCCAGCAGCCGCGGUAAUACGUAGGGGGCAAGCGUUGUCCGGAUUCAUUGGGCGUAAAGAGCUCGUAGGCGGCUUGGCAAGUCGGGUGUGAAAACUUCAGGCUCAACCUGGAGCGGCCACUCGAUACUGCCAUGGCUAGAGUCCGGUAGGGGACCACGGAAUUCCUGGUGUAGCGGUGAAAUGCGCAGAUAUCAGGAGGAACACCGGUGGCGAAGGCGGUGGUCUGGGCC